AGAAAGUAUGCUACCUGGUUGCGGUGUAAUCACAUAUUAACACACCAAAGGACUCUCACACAUUUUGGCUGCAAAGGGAAAUACAGUUUACCUACACAUGCCCCAAUCCAUGAAGCACCUUCAAUCCAACCUAUCAACUGAUCUAAUGAUAGUAACAUGACCCAAACUCUGCUUAGCUUCCUCUGAUAUCCACACAGCCUAAGUAGUAGUUAUAGAAUAUAUAUAUAGAAUAUAUAUAUUCCCUUAAGUAAGUUGGAGAGUUUAGUUAGGGUAUAUAUAAUAGUAUAUAUAGUAUAUAUAGUAUAUAUGGUAUAUAUAUACCCUAACUAAACCCUCCAACUUACUUGGAUAUGAACAAUAUAAAUCGGAAACAAUAAACAGACUCUGCUUCAGACUCCCUUGUUCAUAUGGAAUGAGAAAGUAUGCUACCUGGUUGCGGUGUAAUCACAUAUUAACACACCAAAGGACUCUCACACAUUUUGGCUGCAAAGGGAAAUACAGUUUACCUACACAUGCCCCAAUCCAUGAAGCACCUUCAAUCCAACCUAUCAACUGAUCUAAUGAUAGUUACAUCACCCAAAAUCUGCUUAGCUUCCUC
This 598-nucleotide long non-coding RNA is filed under the name Volvox carteri. RNAcentral describes it as "long non-coding RNA (VCAR_LNC004385)". The record is from RNAcentral. Lineage: Eukaryota; Viridiplantae; Chlorophyta; Chlorophyceae; Chlamydomonadales; Volvocaceae.